GGGUUGUGAGGUUAAGCGACUAAGCGUACACGGUGGAUGCCCUGGCAGUCAGAGGCGAUGAAGGACGUGCUAAUCUGCGAUAAGCGUCGGUAAGGUGAUAUGAACCGUUAUAACCGGCGAUUUCCGAAUGGGGAAACCCAGUGUGAUUCGUCACACUAUCAUUAACUGAAUCCAUAGGUUAAUGAGGCGAACCGGGGGAACUGAAACAUCUAAGUACCCCGAGGAAAAGAAAUCAACCGAGAUUCCCCCAGUAGCGGCGAGCGAACGGGGAGGAGCCCAGAGCCUGAAUCAGUGUGUGUGUUAGUGGAAGCGUCUGGAAAGGCGCGCGAUACAGGGUGACAGCCCCGUACACAAAAAUGCACAUAUUGUGAGCUCGAUGAGUAGGGCGGGACACGUGGUAUCCUGUCUGAAUAUGGGGGGACCAUCCUCCAAGGCUAAAUACUCCUGACUGACCGAUAGUGAACCAGUACCGUGAGGGAAAGGCGAAAAGAACCCCGGCGAGGGGAGUGAAAAAGAACCUGAAACCGUGUACGUACAAGCAGUGGGAGCACGCUUAGGCGUGUGACUGCGUACCUUUUGUAUAAUGGGUCAGCGACUUAUAUUCUGUAGCAAGGUUAACCGAAUAGGGGAGCCGAAGGGAAACCGAGUCUUAACUGGGCGUUAAGUUGCAGGGUAUAGACCCGAAACCCGGUGAUCUAGCCAUGGGCAGGUUGAAGGUUGGGUAACACUAACUGGAGGACCGAACCGACUAAUGUUGAAAAAUUAGCGGAUGACUUGUGGCUGGGGGUGAAAGGCCAAUCAAACCGGGAGAUAGCUGGUUCUCCCCGAAAGCUAUUUAGGUAGCGCCUCGUGAAUUCAUCUCCGGGGGUAGAGCACUGUUUCGGCAAGGGGGUCAUCCCGACUUACCAACCCGAUGCAAACUGCGAAUACCGGAGAAUGUUAUCACGGGAGACACACGGCGGGUGCUAACGUCCGUCGUGAAGAGGGAAACAACCCAGACCGCCAGCUAAGGUCCCAAAGUCAUGGUUAAGUGGGAAACGAUGUGGGAAGGCCCAGACAGCCAGGAUGUUGGCUUAGAAGCAGCCAUCAUUUAAAGAAAGCGUAAUAGCUCACUGGUCGAGUCGGCCUGCGCGGAAGAUGUAACGGGGCUAAACCAUGCACCGAAGCUGCGGCAGCGACGCUGAUGCGUUGUUGGGUAGGGGAGCGUUCUGUAAGCCUGCGAAGGUGUGCUGUGAGGCAUGCUGGAGGUAUCAGAAGUGCGAAUGCUGACAUAAGUAACGAUAAAGCGGGUGAAAAGCCCGCUCGCCGGAAGACCAAGGGUUCCUGUCCAACGUUAAUCGGGGCAGGGUGAGUCGACCCCUAAGGCGAGGCCGAAAGGCGUAGUCGAUGGGAAACAGGUUAAUAUUCCUGUACUUGGUGUUACUGCGAAGGGGGGACGGAGAAGGCUAUGUUGGCCGGGCGACGGUUGUCCCGGUUUAAGCGUGUAGGCUGGUUUUCCAGGCAAAUCCGGAAAAUCAAGGCUGAGGCGUGAUGACGAGGCACUACGGUGCUGAAGCAACAAAUGCCCUGCUUCCAGGAAAAGCCUCUAAGCAUCAGGUAACAUCAAAUCGUACCCCAAACCGACACAGGUGGUCAGGUAGAGAAUACCAAGGCGCUUGAGAGAACUCGGGUGAAGGAACUAGGCAAAAAUGGUGCCGUAACUUCGGGAGAAGGCACGCUGAUAUGUAGGUGAGGUCCCUCGCGGAUGGAGCUGAAAUCAGUCGAAGAUACCAGCUGGCUGCAACUGUUUAUUAAAAACACAGCACUGUGCAAACACGAAAGUGGACGUAUACGGUGUGACGCCUGCCCGGUGCCGGAAGGUUAAUUGAUGGGGUUAGCGCAAGCGAAGCUCUUGAUCGAAGCCCCGGUAAACGGCGGCCGUAACUAUAACGGUCCUAAGGUAGCGAAAUUCCUUGUCGGGUAAGUUCCGACCUGCACGAAUGGCGUAAUGAUGGCCAGGCUGUCUCCACCCGAGACUCAGUGAAAUUGAACUCGCUGUGAAGAUGCAGUGUACCCGCGGCAAGACGGAAAGACCCCGUGAACCUUUACUAUAGCUUGACACUGAACAUUGAGCCUUGAUGUGUAGGAUAGGUGGGAGGCUUUGAAGUGUGGACGCCAGUCUGCAUGGAGCCGACCUUGAAAUACCACCCUUUAAUGUUUGAUGUUCUAACGUUGACCCGUAAUCCGGGUUGCGGACAGUGUCUGGUGGGUAGUUUGACUGGGGCGGUCUCCUCCUAAAGAGUAACGGAGGAGCACGAAGGUUGGCUAAUCCUGGUCGGACAUCAGGAGGUUAGUGCAAUGGCAUAAGCCAGCUUGACUGCGAGCGUGACGGCGCGAGCAGGUGCAAAGCAGGUCAUAGUGAUCCGGUGGUUCUGAAUGGAAGGGCCAUCGCUCAACGGAUAAAAAGGUACUCCGGGGAUAACAGGCUGAUACCGCCCAAGAGUUCAUAUCGACGGCGGUGUUUGGCACCUCGAUGUCGGCUCAUCACAUCCUGGGGCUGAAGUAGGUCCCAAAGGGUAUGGCUGUUCGCCAUUUAAAAGUGGUACGCGAGCUGGGUUUAGAACGUCGUGAGACAGUUCGGUCCCCUAUCUGCCGUGGGCGCUGGAGAACUGAGGGGCUGCUCCUAGUACGAGAGGACCGGAGUGGACGCAUCACUGGUGUUCGGGUUGUCAUGCCAAUGGCACUGCCCGGUAGCUAAAUGCGGAAGAGAUAAGUGCUGAAAAGCAUCUAAGCACGAAAACUUGCCCCGAGAUGAGUUCUCCCUGACCCUUUAAGGGUCCUGAAGGAACGUUGAAGACGACGACGUUGAUAGGCCGGGUGUGUAAGCGCAGCGAUGCGUUGAGCUAACCGGUACUAAUGAACCGUGAGGCUUAACCUUACAACGCCGAAGCUGUU
Molecule: ribosomal RNA, 2934 nt
Filed under: Escherichia coli
Lineage: Bacteria; Pseudomonadati; Pseudomonadota; Gammaproteobacteria; Enterobacterales; Enterobacteriaceae
Description: 23S ribosomal RNA
Rfam family: Bacterial large subunit ribosomal RNA
Source: RNAcentral